GGUCGUUUAGCUCAGCGGGGAGAGCACCUCCCUUACAAGGAGGGGGUCACUGGUUCGAGCCCAGUAACGACCUCCA
This 76-nucleotide transfer RNA is filed under the name Aeromonas caviae. RNAcentral's name for it is "tRNA-Val". It matches the Rfam family "tRNA". From Rfam's summary of the family: Transfer RNA (tRNA) molecules are approximately 80 nucleotides in length. Their secondary structure includes four short double-helical elements and three loops (D, anti-codon, and T loops). Lineage: Bacteria; Pseudomonadati; Pseudomonadota; Gammaproteobacteria; Aeromonadales; Aeromonadaceae. The record is from RNAcentral.